AUACGGAGGGUGCAAGCGUUAUUCGGAAUCACUGGGCGUAAAGGACGCGUAGGCGGGUUGGCAAGUCAGAUGUGAAAUCCUACAGCUUAACUGUAGAACUGCAUUUGAAACUGCUAACCUAGAGUAUGGGAGGGGGAGAUGGAAUUAGUGGUGUAGGGGUAAAAUCCGUAGAUAUCACUAGGAAUACCGAAAGCGAAGGCGAUCUCCUGGAACAUAACUGACGCUAAGGCGUGAAAGCGUGGGGAGCAAACAGGAUUAGAGACCCUAGUAGUCC
RNAcentral lists this ribosomal RNA (274 nucleotides) under uncultured bacterium. RNAcentral's name for it is "partial 16S ribosomal RNA". It matches the Rfam family "Bacterial small subunit ribosomal RNA", at positions 523 to 796 of the family's 1533-position model. The record is from RNAcentral.